AACUUUUGGCAAUGGAUCUCUUGGCUUUCGCAUCGUUGAAGAACGCUGCGAAAGCGCGAAACGUAAUUUGAAUUGCAGAAUUCAGUGAAUCAUCGAAUCUUUGAACGCAUCUUGCGCUCCUUGGUAUUCCGAGGAGCAUGCCUGUUUGAGAGUCGUGACUACCUCAAUUUGUUACUUUUGUAAUGAAAUUGGACUUGGGUGUUGCUGUGUACGGCUCACCUUAAAUACAUUAGUGAUGAGUUCUGAUCAACAUCAAUACAUCAUAAGCAUUUGUUGUGUUGAGGGUCAGACCAUGGCUUCUAACACUUAUGACAUUUGACCUCAAAUCAGGCAGGACUACCCGCUGAACUUAAGCCAGAUCAAUAAGCGGAGGCU
Molecule: unclassified non-coding RNA, 375 nt
Filed under: uncultured Pyronemataceae
Lineage: Eukaryota; Fungi; Ascomycota; Pezizomycetes; Pezizales; Pyronemataceae
Also listed under: 1 other name
Description: sequence contains ITS2
Rfam family: 5.8S ribosomal RNA (bases 1-155)
Source: RNAcentral